This 802-nucleotide ribosomal RNA is filed under the name uncultured Candidatus Scalindua sp. RNAcentral describes it as "bacterial SSU rRNA". It matches the Rfam family "Bacterial small subunit ribosomal RNA", at positions 52 to 832 of the family's 1533-position model. Lineage: Bacteria; Pseudomonadati; Planctomycetota; Candidatus Brocadiia; Candidatus Brocadiales; Candidatus Scalinduaceae. The record is from RNAcentral.
GGCAUGCAAGUCGAACGAGGAUAUAUCCUUCGGGAUAUAAGCCGAGUGGCACAAGGGUGAGUAAUGCAUAGAUUACCUGCCUUUAGGAUAAGGACAACUUUGUGAAAACGAAGCUAAUACUUAAUAAUACAAAAGAAAUAAUUUUCUUUUGUCAAAUGGAGGGUAGCAAUACCUUUCGCCUGGAGAGGGGUUUAUGUCCUAUCAGCUUGUUGGUGGGGUAAUGGCCUACCAAGGCGAAGACGGGUAGCCGGUUUAAGAGGAUGGUCGGCCACACUGGGACUGAGACACUGCCCAGACUUCUACGGAAGGCUGCAGUCGAGAAUCUUUCGCAAUGCCCGAAAGGGUGACGAAGCGACGCCGCGUGGGUGAGGAAGGCCUUCGGGUUGUAAAGCCCUGUCAGGAGUUAAGAAAUGUAAGUUCGUUAAUACCGUACUUAUUUGACAAAGGCUCCAAAGGAAGCCACGGCUAACUCUGUGCCAGCAGCCGCGGUAAUACAGAGGUGGCGAGCGUUGUUCGGAAUUAUUGGGCGUAAAGAGCACGUAGGUGGGUUUGCAAGUCAGAUGUGAAAGCCUUCUGUUCAACGGAAGAAUUGCAUCUGAAACUGCUAAUCUUGAGUAUAGGAGGGGAGAAUGGAACUUCUGGUGGAGCGGUGAAAUGCGUAGAUAUCAGAAGGAACGCCGGCGGCGAAAGCGAUUCUCUGGCCUAUUACUGACACUCAGUGUGCGAAAGCUAGGGGAGCAAACGGGAUUAGAUACCCCGGUAGUCCUAGCCGUAAACGAUGGGCACUAAGUAGAGGGGUUUU